Molecule: unclassified non-coding RNA, 60 nt
Filed under: synthetic construct
Source: RNAcentral
UGAUGGAGGAGUGAUUUACUGGUACUAUUUCGCUUGGUUGCCGACUUACGUGUGGGUUGA